GCUUACAGCCACACCGCCUGGUAUACGCUUGAUCUCGGAAGAUAAGGUAGGUUGGGCCUGGUUAGUACUUGGAUGGGGAGACCGCCUGGGAAUACCAGGUGCUGUAAGCU
RNAcentral lists this ribosomal RNA (110 nucleotides) under Scophthalmus maximus (turbot). Lineage: Eukaryota; Metazoa; Chordata; Actinopteri; Pleuronectiformes; Scophthalmidae. The record is from RNAcentral.